GAGGCGACAGUCGUCCCGCGCGCUGUAGACGCCUGCUGAAAACGCGAGUUCGUACGACGGUGUUCCGAAGUUUAACCAAUUUGUGAAUAAAGCAAAACAAUUUGUGAAUAAAAACUGACUUGUGAGGUUUCUAUAAGUGGUUUGUGCUGGCAACGGAGCGGCGUUAAGACGGAUUUUAUUCUUAAGAUCCCGACAAAAGAUGCGAUGGAGCGCGGCAUCGGCGGUGAGGUGACGUCACACCGACACCGACCAUGCACCGGCUAGCGUGAGGAGCGAGCGAGACAGCCAGCCAGUUCGUAUGGAGAUGAACGGGACGGAGACACGGGCCGAGGAAGCGGUGACGCUGGUUCUGAGCGUCGCCGUCACCGUCAUCUCCGCUAUCGGACUGCUGCUCAACGCGUAUAUACUGUUCGUCAUUGUCAUUACUAAACAGCCAGCGUCAGCGUCAUCAGUCCUCCUGGUCCACCUGGGCGCAGUCGGCGCGCUCGCGAGCGGUGCUGCCCUC
Molecule: long non-coding RNA, 505 nt
Organism: Ostrinia nubilalis (European corn borer)
Lineage: Eukaryota; Metazoa; Arthropoda; Insecta; Lepidoptera; Crambidae
Exons: 3
Source: RefSeq, a predicted model, not a curated record